GCGGGGAUAGCUCAGUUGGGAGAGCGUCAGACUGAAGAAAUAACUUCAUUCGAUUCUAUUCAUUAAUCUGAAGGUCGUGCGUUCGAUCCGCACUCACCGCA
This 101-nucleotide transfer RNA is filed under the name Xylaria grammica. Its description in RNAcentral is "tRNA-Phe". It matches the Rfam family "tRNA". From Rfam's summary of the family: Transfer RNA (tRNA) molecules are approximately 80 nucleotides in length. RNAcentral also lists the same sequence under 1 other name. The record is from RNAcentral. Lineage: Eukaryota; Fungi; Ascomycota; Sordariomycetes; Xylariales; Xylariaceae.